UGUCUUCGGGGUUGGGUGAAAUUCCCUACCGGCAGUAUAGUCUGCGAACUGUUUUGCAUUGAGCCUUGUUGAUUGACAAGUGUCUAUUGACAAGAGUCCUGGCAAAGACAGCCGAUCCGGUGCGAUUCCGGGACCGACAGUAUAGUCUGGAUGGGAGAAGGCG
This 163-nucleotide non-coding RNA is filed under the name bovine gut metagenome. Its description in RNAcentral is "FMN riboswitch (RFN element)". It matches the Rfam family "FMN riboswitch aptamer (RFN element)". Rfam says of the family: The RFN element is a highly conserved domain that is found frequently in the 5'-untranslated regions of prokaryotic mRNAs that encode for flavin mononucleotide (FMN) biosynthesis and transport proteins. This element is a metabolite-dependent riboswitch that directly binds FMN in the absence of proteins. In Bacillus subtilis, the riboswitch most likely controls gene expression by causing premature transcription termination within the 5' untranslated region of the ribDEAHT operon and precluding access to the ribosome-binding site of ypaA mRNA. The record is from RNAcentral.